UUUGGUAACAAUGUGUUUUUAAGAUGUAAAACCAUUUCAUGCAUCACAUUUUGUAGCAUGUGAAAUCUGUUAAAUGACAAACACAGUUAUAAAAUACAUAUCAAUGAUUCAAUAACAUGUUUGUUUCUACUUGUAUUCCCCCCCAUUAAAGCAUUUAAAAUCAUUUAAAACAUUGAUUAGGGGUAUGAACUCACCUGUAGUUGGUGAUUGGGAUGAACUGAACGGUAUAGGAUGGCUAGGUAUCAAGCGAGGACUUAUACACGCACUACGAUCCUAAUGAACAUAUAAUCACACAUAUAUGCACUCAAUUAGACUCAAAUCACUAAUUGAUAAUGUUAAGACAUCCUAUACAUAAUAAACACUUUAUAUAAGUGUUUUAAGCCCUAAUGAUCGCAUCAAAGCUAUUGUGGAACAAGGUACUUGUGUUUAGGGUUCCAAAGGACNNNNNNNNNNNNNNNNNNNNNNNNNNNNNNNNNNNNNNNNNNNNNNNNNNNNNNNNNNNNNNNNNNNNNNNNNNNNNNNNNNNNNNNNNNNNNNNNNNNNAAGUCGCGUACUUCUGGGAUUUUCUGGAUGUCUUUCAAUUCUUGACUGGUAUCGACGACGUCUACGAGGAAUGCAUGGUACUCCUUUCGCAAACACUUUUGUGCUUGAAUGCACGAAAUGAUGGUAAGACUCGUACUAGGUUUGUCGCCGUAGAUAACUAAGGUUUCGUUGUUAGGAAGGUUAAGACGAACUGGUUUUUCGAAGCACAAAAUGUCGGCACGAAGAAGACUCAACCAAUCCAUACCGAUGAUAACGUCGAAACAUUUAAUUGGGACUGGCAUGAGAUCUAUCUUGAAAGUAUGGCCAUCUAAAGUUAAGGUACAACCUACGUAUAUGCAGUUUGUACUCUCUGUUUUCCCGUUAGCCAUUUCUACCGUGAAUGAAUUAUCUAAUGCACAUGGUUUUUGUUUAAGCAGGUGUGCAAAUUUGUGACUUACAAAACUUUUCUCGGCUCCACUAUCGAAAAGUAUGCAAGCAUAUGAGUUAUCGAGGAGGAACGUACCAGUAACUAUCGUAGGAUCAGCUACUGCUUCCUCGUGGCCUAGGACCAUAACUCUUCCCACUCCUCCAGCUAUCCCCGCUUUAGGGUAGUUCCUCUUGUAGUGACCCACCUCGCCACAACCGUAGCAAGUUUGGCCCAUACCGGCAUUAGGGACCUGGGCGGCUUGAGCUGUUGGAGCCUUGCAGUAACGGGCUGUAUGCCCCUACCUGUUGCAGUUAGUGCAUUGCAUCUCCUUGCAAGGUACGUGGUGGUGGUAGUUGCACUUGGUGCACUUCGAAAGAGUUCCAGCAUAAGUUUUUGCUGGUAAGGGGUUCGCAGGGGCAACAGGAGUCACUGUAGCAGCAUUGAUCGCCACAAGUUGUUGCUUAUUGGAGGAUCCUUGCGGAGGCCCUCUUUUCCUCUUAUUCCACCCCUUCUUGUUGUAGUCGGGGCUGGACAUUUAUGGUACAGGUGUAGGGAUUGUUGUGUUCUGAGGUUUCCGGUGAUCGAUGAGAGAUUGUGCCAGUUCCUUGGCGCUAUCGAAGGUAAUAGGCCUGGAAGCGAUCACACUUGACUGGAUCUGGGGCGACAGUCCCCAGAUAUAUCUCUCUAUCUUUUUGCUCUGGAGAGCAACCAUGUCAGGGCAUAAGUUUGCCAGAUCACAGAACCUAUUUGUGUAGGUCGUGAUGUCGGAUCCAACCAUUUGUAGACCCCAGAAUUCUUGCUCGAGUUUUUGUAUUUCACCUCGAGGACAGUACUCUUUCAUCAGCAUGUCCUUCAACUUUUCCCAGCUGAUGGAAUACGCCACCACCAAAGUUAGAUAGUUAACAUGGCUGUUCCACCAUGUUAGUGCUCUGUCAGAGAAGGUACAAGCUGCAAACUUGACCUUGUUGCCCUCCUGGCAAGCACAGAUUUCAAAGACAGAUUCCAUCUUUUCAAUCCAUUGUCUCAACACCAUAACACCCCCAGUUCCAUUGAAGCUGCGGGGUUUGGCGUUAGUGAAGUCCUUGUAGGUGCAUUCCCGAGGGUGUCCAUGGCUUUCGCCGUGGUUCGAGGGUGGUGCACCUGUUCCUGAUCCACUAGGGGCAGGAGCGUUGAUUGCCGACACAUCAGCUGCAACUGCUGCUGUGAAAGCUGCCUGGAACAUGUUGGCAUCGAAAGGAUUUGGUGGUUAAAGAGGUUCAGGUGGUGGUGGAGGUGCUUCGUUGUUUGGGUUUCUCCUUGGAUUCGUACGUGGCGGCAUCUUUAACUAUACGUUUAAAAGAUGAUGAAAUGGAUAAGAAUAAAUGAUUAAUGAAUGUGUCCCAUGGACUAAAUCCCCAUAGCCCAACAACAGAAGGAAUAGUAUGACUAAAUGAAGAAGAUAGCAUUUGGAUAAUAAUUUCCAUAAGAUUAGAUAUCUGUCAAUAAUACUGGAAUUACAGAUGUAACAAGUUCGGGAAAAAUGGCCUAGAAGUAGGCCUUACAUCAACCAAGAUGGAAAAUUUUGACAGAAUUAAGACUAGAUCAAGACCUAACAGGUCUAAGAUUUAUAAAGAUAGGAAAUUAGACCAAAGUUUUACAUAAACUAGGUUAUAUCCAAAAGAUGAGUCGACGAGAUUCUAUCGGCGACGAGAACUGCUAGCAUGAGUCCUCGAUCCCGACAGUAGAUGUUCAAUGUCCCUUAUACGCCUGUCCGACCUUGCUUGCUGAGCUCGAAGUUCUCUAACUUCAGCUUGGGUUUCAGCAAGUUCCCUCUGCAGAUUUGCAUUGCGGACCAGAGUCCUUUCAUGAGCAGACUCUAGUUGGCGAAUGUGGACAGUGUUAACACCAGAGUUGGCGUCAACUUCCAAGACUUGAUUGAUAGUCGCCUGAGCCAUUAUCGUGUUCCGAGAAAUCCUACGCACCAUGAUUGGUAGGACUCUAUCAGCAGAACCUCCUUCAGUGAGGUUGUAGAAACUUCGGUCUCCAUUGUAGGGAAUGGGCUGACCCUGUUCAUGACUCCAUGUAAUCAAGUUAGUGGCCCACAGAGGUGUGGGUCCUUGAAACACAGGGCGGGGGUUCAGGUUUGGGUUUUGAGCAUUUGGGGGUAGGUUGUUGACUUCUGGCUCCGAGUCAGAACUAUCAGAAAAACCCUCAGCAUGGUGAUCAUCCAAAGGAAUUGGGUGAUCAUCUUCUGGUUCUGCCUCUAGCCAACCAGCAUUGCCUUGGUUUGGGAAGUACGGAUCGCCAUGGUGAAAUCCAGCCAUUUUAAUCUACGCGAGAAAAGGGAUAUAAGAAAUAGCUAAAAUAGACGAACUAACUAAGAUAAUUACAGUAAGAUCAAAUACCCAUAUGGUAUUUCUUUAUGGUUGUGUUGGUAAGUUUUUAGACUUGUUGCCAUAUCACAACCAUUCUUGGGCAUAUGCUAAUCACUCCUCGGACCAGCAUAGUUGAUCAGGCUAUGCCAUUCCCAAGACUGACCAUAUAUCCCCAGGCUUACUUGUGAUAUUCAACAAUCGUAAUACUUUUGUUCUUGUCAUUGUGACACUGAUUUUAGUAUGAAUGCAGGCACGUAUACUUACUUAAAUAUUUUAUUAUUUAAAAGUAUAACUCUUAGACAGAGUGUUUUAAUCCCAAUGUAUUUAUAGUUAGUAUAUCUUUUAUGGGUUGAUAUACUAUAUUCACUAUAAACAAUGCUCUGAUACCAAUCUGUCACACCCCAAAACCACGAACGGCGGAAACGUUCAGGGGUGGAGGACGUCAUGUACAGUAUCACAACAGUGUAAUAUAAUAAACAAGCAACAACAUCAUCCAUUGCAUUAUAAGUAAAGUUUUAAUACAUGUGUGCUUUUUCAUUGUAGUAUGACACCAAAAAUAUACAAGCAAAAUAAAAGACGAGACUUGUCUGCUCCGUCUUCUCAAAACCUGGCCACCGUACCUGUCUACUGAUGACCUGAGAAUACAAGUUAUUUUGAAAGAGAGUAUCAGCUUUAAAGCUGGUGAAUUCAUAAGUAUUUAAGUGUCAUUGUCUUGCUUACUAAAAGCUGUUUUAAAAGUCAUGUAAACCUUUAAAUGAAAAUGUUGAUGUAAGUAUGAAAAGCCCUAGAAAAUCCCUUAUUUUCUAUCAGUUUGAGAUGUAGUCUUCUACCAAGACCCGAAUGUUUUGUUAUGACAAUGUAGUCUUCUACCAAGACCCGAAUGUUUUGUUAUGACAAUGUAGUCUUCUACCAAGACCCGAAUGUUUUGUUAUGACAAUGUAGUCUUCUACCAAGACCCGAAUGUUUUGUUAUGACAAUGUAGUCUUCUACCAAGACCCGAAUGUUUUGUUAUGACAAUGUAGUCUUCUACCAAGACCCGAAUGUUUUGUUAUGACAAUGUAGUCUUCUACCAAGACCCGAAUGUUUUGUAAGUAAAAUGAUAGUUUUUCCUUUCUAUUGACUAGUACUAAAAGUACUUAGUCUAACUCAUCGUUUAUGUGAAUGUAUCACAAAAUAAAGUAAACAGGAAAAUGUACUACUGUAAGUGUUGUCACUGGGUACUAGGACUAACACAACAUCGCAUUAAGCGAAAUAUGUAACCUAAUGAACAUCCGAAGAUUGUCCAGAACAAGUAUUAAUGUAAGUGUCAUCGCUGGGUACUAGGAGUAACACAACAUCGCAAUAAGCGAAAGGUAUAACCUUAUGAACAAUCGAAGAUUGUCCACUUGUCCUCUGUAGCAGCAGCAGGUGGGUGGAGGGGUUAGCCCCGGUUAUCGAUCUACCUAGUAUAAGUAGUAACCUUAGACCUCCGUAGAUGGUCAUCGACCACUGGUGCUAAUCAGUGGGGUUCGGAAUGGUAAGUCCCGCCGAGAUAUCCCAUUGAACCGGGAUAGGAAAGAUAAUUUACACAGAAAGUACUAAUAAAUCAUCCUCGUAGUUCUAAGUACAAGUAUCCAGGUAAGUGAAUACAGGAUAAUGCACCUAUGUAAAAGUGUUCCUGUAUGGUAUUCAUGUAAGUGUGUUCAUGUAACAGGUAAGUAUAUGUAAACAUAUUCAUGUAUCAUGUAAUCCUAAGUAAGUGUACUCAUGUAUCAUGUAAGGUAUUGGUAUAGACUCAUGAAUGAACUGACUCUUGUGUGAUUCCUUGUAAUAGGAAUAAUGUUUGAUAUCUUCUAAUUAUCCCUAUGAUAAUUUACUGAAAGGUAAUUAGUUGUUCAAGUAGGUUUAUACACUCUUACUACUCAAGGGUGUGAGAAACUAAAUGAAAGAUGUAAACUAUAACAUCAAUACAUAUAUAAGAAUAUAAGUGUAUAUGCAUAGUUUAGUUCAAGAAUGUAAAAUGGUUUUGUAAGACAUCUUAUGGGUUUUGAACAAUAAUUAACAAUGACUUGAUGUCAUUUUAAUAAACAUUUCAAAGGUAAAACAUUUGGUAACAAUGUGUUUUUAAGAUGUAAAACCAUUUCAUGCAUCACAUUUUGUAGUAUGUGAAAUCUGUUAAAUGACAAACACAGUUAUAAAAUACAUAUCAAUGAUUUAAUAACAUGUUUGUUUCUACUUGUAUUCCCCCCUUUUAAGCAUUUAAAAUCAUUUAAAACAUUGAUUAGGGGUAUGAACUCACCUGUAGUUGGUGAUUGGGAUGAACUGAACGGUAUAGGAUUGCUAGGUGUCAAGCGAGGACUUGUACACACACU
Molecule: long non-coding RNA, 5654 nt
Filed under: Lactuca sativa (garden lettuce)
Lineage: Eukaryota; Viridiplantae; Streptophyta; Magnoliopsida; Asterales; Asteraceae
Description: long non-coding RNA (LSAT_LNC002798)
Source: RNAcentral